RNAcentral lists this long non-coding RNA (487 nucleotides) under Rhinopithecus bieti (black snub-nosed monkey). RNAcentral describes it as "lncRNA (ENSRBIG00000046602.1)". Lineage: Eukaryota; Metazoa; Chordata; Mammalia; Primates; Cercopithecidae. The record is from RNAcentral.
CUGGAAUUUCCCUUGAAGGAACUCAAGAUUUUCCUUUAUUUUCAUGCUCGUUGUUGGGGUGGUACUCACAGGCCUCUGUGAGGGGUCCCUGCCCUGUUUGACUUCCCCCAAACUGGAAGCCAAUGUGGAUACCCCUGAUUUAGAUGAUAGUCCGCUUCUGCCACUUCAUUGAGCUUCAUUUACCUGAUCUGCCACAUGCAAAGGGGUACUGUGAAGAAGAUGCCUGUGAUGAUACGCGGUUGAACAUUGUUUUCACAUUUAAUGACAUAAUGGCUAGUGGACCAGGUCACCUGACAGUACUAGUCAACCUACAGGCUCAAACUGAUUUGUACUUUGGAGGGAAGGAGAAGUGGCUUUGGAAACUGCAACCUUUUCUAAAUCAAGGAGAUGCUGCUUCUGAGAUUGAAAUUCUUAACAAUAUGUUCCUUGUGACCUAUUUGGAUCACAAAUCCAGUUCCUUGCUGAAUGAAAAAUAACAUAUGUGGAA